Grus americana (Whooping crane) is the source of this 513-nucleotide long non-coding RNA. RefSeq lists it as uncharacterized. The record is from RefSeq and is a predicted model, not a curated record. Lineage: Eukaryota; Metazoa; Chordata; Aves; Gruiformes; Gruidae. The transcript is spliced from 3 exons.
CUCGCGUGAUCCCCUCACCGCUUCCGCCGUUCGGGUCUGCCGAUGCAGCUGGCAAUCCAUGACGGAAGCUUCUCUGCCUGUUCAGUUACAGAUGUGCCCGUGGGAAGGGCUUUUCCGGCUCCUCAGCUGGAUGCUGUGCCACAGGCCGGUUGGCACCGCAGGGGUGAGUCAGUCUGUCUCUGCUGACCUCACAGGCUAAGCACUGGUUUUCCAUAAUUUAGUCCUGUGAAAUUGAACCAAAUACUUUCUGUGAAGGUCCUCCAAGAGCGCAGUACCACCAAGCUGAGGGAGGAAAAAAGCGCCCGGAGCCAUCUCCACUCCUGAGGAAAAUGCUGGACGAACUGGAGAGACGACACGAGACGGACCGAGAGGCUGUGAAGAAGCUCUUGUUUCCAGACGGAAGCAGCGGCUCCCUGCCAGUCCCUCCCGACGAAGCGCAGGCAACGCAAGGCGCCGGCACGCCAGUGCUGUCAGAGUCCGGAGAAGACCACCAGGCCAGCAGAUAUGAUUUUU